AGUGGGGGAUAGCUCGGGGAAACUCGAAUUAAUACCGCAUACACCCUACGGGGAAAAGGGGGCGCUUGCGCUCUCGCUAUUGGAUGAGCCUAAGUCGGAUUAGCUAGUUGGUGGGGUAAAGGCCUACCAAGGCGACGAUCUGUAGCUGGUCUGAGAGGAUGAUCAGCCACACCGGGACUGAGACACGGCCCGGACUCCUACGGGAGGCAGCAGUGGGGAAUAUUGGACAAUGGGGGAAACCCUGAUCCAGCCAGGCCGCGUGUGUGAAGAAGGCCUUUUGGUUGUAAAGCACUUUAAGCAGUGAAGAAGACCUAACGGUUAAUACCCGUUAGCGAUGACAUUAGCUGCAGAAUAAGCACCGGCUAACUCUGUACCAGCAGCCGCGGUAAUACAGAGGGUGCAAGCGUUAAUCGGAAUUACUGGGCGUAAAGCGAGCGUAGGUGGCUUAUUAAGUCAGAUGUGAAAUCCCCGGGCUUAACCUGGGAACUGCAUCUGAUACUGGUGAGCUAGAGUAGGUGAGAGGGAGGUAGAAUUUCAGGUGUAGCGGUGAAAUGCGUAGAGAUCUGAAGGAAUACCGAUGGCGAAGGCAGCCUCCUGGCAUCAUACUGACACUGAGGUUCGAAAGCGUGGGUAGCAAACAGGAUUAGAUACCCUGGUAGUCCACGCCGUAAACGAUGUCUACUAGUCGUUGGGGGACUUGAUCCCUUAGUGACGCAGCUAACGCAAUAAGUAGACCGCCUGGGGAGUACGGCCGCAAGGUUAAAACUCAAAUGAAUUGACGGGGGCCCGCACAAGCGGUGGAGCAUGU
RNAcentral lists this ribosomal RNA (808 nucleotides) under uncultured bacterium. Its description in RNAcentral is "bacterial SSU rRNA". It matches the Rfam family "Bacterial small subunit ribosomal RNA", at positions 135 to 942 of the family's 1533-position model. The record is from RNAcentral.